Molecule: small RNA, 132 nt
Filed under: unclassified sequences
Description: LOOT RNA
Rfam family: LOOT RNA
About the family: Latescibacteria, OD1/Parcubacteria, OP11, TM7. Lineage (Microgenomates, aka OP11)
Source: Rfam by way of RNAcentral
GACCUAAACUCCACGUAGUACCCAUAAAUGGUGACACGUGUAGCAUGGUCGCAAACCGUAAGCCAUAGAGAACCCGUCAUUCAGGGCGUGGCUUACGUUGCACGAGGAAACUUGUGUAGGGCCGCAAGGCCU